UUAAAUAACGCAGAUGUAUUUAAAAAACAACUUUUUUUUCUUUUUUGAUAAUUUACAGUAAGGGUUUGAACAACUACUAGAGGUAUUAGAACCAUACAGAUAAACACAAAGAAGGAAGUUGGUUGGAAAGAAAGUGUUUUGUCAAUGUUGUAGAUUAAAGGCACAAAACUUUCAGAGGACAACUAAUAGAAUAAAGAGGAGCGAAAUAUGGCGGAACCGGAAGAUGACAAUAAUUAUAGCUGGUGUCACAGCAGUGUUUGUCCUUUUCAUAGUUCUAGUUGCCCUAGGAG
Molecule: long non-coding RNA, 290 nt
Organism: Saccostrea cuccullata (small rock oyster)
Lineage: Eukaryota; Metazoa; Mollusca; Bivalvia; Ostreida; Ostreidae
Exons: 3
Source: RefSeq, a predicted model, not a curated record